RNAcentral lists this long non-coding RNA (622 nucleotides) under Homo sapiens (human). Its description in RNAcentral is "non-protein coding SOX2-OT:52". The stretch from base 14 to 289 matches the Rfam family "SOX2 overlapping transcript exon 3". Lineage: Eukaryota; Metazoa; Chordata; Mammalia; Primates; Hominidae. The record is from RNAcentral.
CAGGGGAUUGCAGUGGCAAAGCUAGGCUAGGUCUUGGAGGCUGGUGUAAGGCGAUGUGGGUGAAGGCAGGAGGCUGAUGGAAAGACUGGGGGGAAGAAAAGCCGAAAUGGAUUCACGGUGCCUUGGAUGAAGGACGAGAGGGGAACUGCAAGCUCCUUCAACUGGUUCUGUCCGGUGAGAAGUGAUCAAGCUUGGGCUGACAAGAGGCUCAGGGAGCCCUCACGUUCUUUCGCUUUUUUACCUGCCAAUCAAACUGCUACAAGACAACACCCUGAUCUGGCAUGGACAUCGCGGGUCCAAGCCUGUAGCCCCAAAUCGGAUAAUCUCUGCAGCUGAUAACAAGCAAAAGAGAAGCCAGGCAACAGCCAUAUUAAAGAAGAAAACAAUCAACUCUGAGGAUGGCUGCCAGGGAAUAGAUGAAAGGCAGAAGUGGCGAUGGGUGACUGAUGUGGCACACUUAUGAAGAAAAGCCUCUUUUUCCAUGCUUGUUUUUCCUCCCCAAGGAGCCAACAGAGUUUCUAUUCUCCAACUCUGCUCUUCACCUUACCCAAGUCAUUGCAGUCACCUGGAGUCACGGAAAUGACCAUGAUUGCCUGAACUUUCAUGACUUCUGUGGAUAACU